This 470-nucleotide ribosomal RNA is filed under the name uncultured bacterium. RNAcentral's name for it is "bacterial SSU rRNA". It matches the Rfam family "Bacterial small subunit ribosomal RNA", at positions 27 to 518 of the family's 1533-position model. The record is from RNAcentral.
GGAUGAACGCUGACAGAAUGCUUAACACAUGCAAGUCUACUUGAUCCUCGGGUGAAGGUGGCGGACGGGUGAGUAACGCGUAAAGAACUGCCUUACAGACUGGGACAACAUUUGGAAACGAAUGCUAAUACCGGAUAUUAUGAUUGGGUCGCAUGAUCUGGUUAUGAAAGCUAUAUGCGCUGUGAGAGAGCUUUGCGUCCCAUUAGUUAGUUGGUGAGGUAACGGCUCACCAAGACGAUGAUGGGUAGCCGGCCUGAGAGGGUGAACGGCCACAAGGGACUGAGACACGGCCCUUACUCCUACGGGAGGCAGCAGGUGGGGAAUAUCGGACAAUGGAACCAAAAGUCUGAUCCAGCAAUUUCCUGUGUGCACGAUGUAAGUUUUUCGGAAUGUAAAGUGCUUUCAGUUGGGAAGAAGUCAGUGACGGUACCAACAGAAGAAGCGACGGCUAAAUACGUGCCAGCAGCAGC